CUGAGAACACAUGCAACGCCCUAGCCCACACCUGACGCUGAGAUCAAGCAGGGAAGAACGGGAUUAGAAACCCCGGUAUCCUGGCCGUAAACGAUGCAACUAGGCGUAGGAGGUUAUUGACCCCUUCUGUGCUGUUAGCUAACGCGUUAAGUUGACCGCCUGGGACUACGGCCGCAAGGCUAAAACUCAAAGGAAUUGACGGGUCCCCGCCACAAGCAGCGGACGUGUGGUUUAAUUCGAGGCUACACGAAGAACCUUACCAGGGUUUGACAUGCUAGUGGUAGUGAAGCGAAAGGGGACCGACCUUCGGGAGCCGUCACAGGUGCUAGCAUGGCUGUCGUCAGCUCGUGUCGUGAGAUGUUCGGUUAAGUCCGGUAACGAGCGCAACCCUCGUCGCCAGUUACACGUUGUCUGGCGAGACUGCCCGUAGAAAGCGGGAGGAAGGUGGGGAUGACGUCAAGUCAGCAUGGCCUUGAUGUCCAGGGCGACACACACGCUACAAUGGCCGGUACAAUGGGGCGCCAACCCGCGAGGGGGAGCCAAUCCGCCAAAGCCGGUCUCAGUUCGGAUUGCAGGCUGCAACCCGCCUGCAUGAAGUCGGAGUUGCUAGUAACCGCAGGUCAGCCAUACUGCGGUGAAUACGUUCCCGGGCCUUGUACACACCGCCCGUCACGUCAUGGGAGUUGGUCACGCCUGAAGUCGGUGGGCUAACCGCAAGGAGGCAGCCGCCAAAGGCAGGGCUGGUGACUGGGACGAAGUCGUAACAAGGUAGCC
Molecule: ribosomal RNA, 774 nt
Filed under: uncultured bacterium
Lineage: Bacteria
Description: bacterial SSU rRNA
Rfam family: Bacterial small subunit ribosomal RNA
Source: RNAcentral